GAUGAACGCUAGCGGGAGGCUUAACACAUGCAAGCCGGGCGGUAUAAGUAGCUUGCUACUUAGAGAGCGGCGCACGGGUGCGUAACGCGUAUGUAACUUGCCCUAAUCAACGGGAUAGCCCUUCGAAAGGGGGAUUAAUACCGUAUAAUAUAUGAUAUGGCAUCGUAUUGUAUUGAAAGAUUUAUUGGAUUAGGAUAGACAUGCGUAGGAUUAGCUAGUUGGUAAGGUAACGG
This 233-nucleotide ribosomal RNA is filed under the name uncultured bacterium. Its description in RNAcentral is "partial 16S ribosomal RNA". It matches the Rfam family "Bacterial small subunit ribosomal RNA", at positions 28 to 263 of the family's 1533-position model. The record is from RNAcentral.